CUUUGACCCUCAGAGCACAGCACACACAGGACAGGCACCGGGAUUAGAGCAGACACAUCGCAGCUCUCGCUCCCUCUACCAUGGGCUUUCAGCUCCUCGUGAUUGCAUUCCUUCUGGGACUCAUCAUGGGACUUCUACUUAUAACACUAUGCAAAGAGAAGAUAGCCAUGAAAAUAAGCAAGGGAUCUUUUUCCUUCUCUUUUGAAGUUGGGGGGAAACAAAGGGUCAGCCCCACAGGCUGCAGCCAAUGCCUUGGUGACCACAAGAAGAAAGCCUGAUUACUAUGGCCAGUGAACAGAAGGCGAUUUCCUUCCUUCCGAACAGCCUGCUUCAUUUCUUCCCACAGCAUGGACUAGAAUGCCCCCACU
Molecule: long non-coding RNA, 368 nt
Organism: Onychostruthus taczanowskii (white-rumped snowfinch)
Lineage: Eukaryota; Metazoa; Chordata; Aves; Passeriformes; Passeridae
Exons: 5
Source: RefSeq, a predicted model, not a curated record